Molecule: non-coding RNA, 1029 nt
Organism: Pipistrellus kuhlii (Kuhl's pipistrelle)
Lineage: Eukaryota; Metazoa; Chordata; Mammalia; Chiroptera; Vespertilionidae
Source: the annotation of a RefSeq genome assembly
AUGGUCAGCCAGCUGACCCUGCCGGCCAGCCAGUGCCCGGCGAGCGGAUUCCUAAAGUGCCACGUGAGGCACAACUCCAGCCCCAGCCGGACGGUGAACGUGCCCUGCCCAGACAUUAAUACAUCAACAGUGAUCAAAGGCUCGUGCUGCCAGCCCCGCCUGACCCUGCACCCGCCGGCCCUCGAGGACCUGCUGCUGAACUCCAAUGCCAGCCUCACGUGCACGCUGAGUGGCCUGAGAGACCCUAAGGGUGCCAGCUUCACCUGGCAGCCCACCGGUGGGAAGGAGGCCAUCCAGCAGGCCCCGCAGAGCGACGCCUGCGGCUGCUACAGCGUGUCCAGCGUCCUGCCGGGCUGCGCCGAGCCGUGGAACCGCGGGCAGAGCUUCUCCUGCACCGCCAACCACCCUGAGGCCACCAGCCCGCUCACUGCCACCAUCGCCAGACCCUCAGGGAGCACCUUCCCACCCCAGGUCCACCUGCUGCCGCCGCCCACAGAGGAGCUGGCCCUCAACGAGCUGGUGACGCUGACAUGCGUGGUGCAGGGCUUCUACCCCGGAGACGUGCUGGUGCGGUGGCAUCACGAGAACCAGGAGCUGCCCCGAGAGAAGUUCCAGACGUGGAGCCCGCUGCCCGAGGACGGCCAGGGCGGCCCCAGGUUCAUCACGACCAGCGUGCUGCGUGUGGAAACGGAGGCGUGGAAGAACGGGGACAACUUCUCCUGCACGGUGGGCCACGAGGCCCUGCCCCUGAGCUUCACACAGAAGACCAUCAACCGCCUGGCGGGUAAACCCACCCACGUCAACGUGUCCGUGGUCAUGUCCGAGGUGGAAGACUACCAGGAGUGGCUUCCCUGUGUGCUGAUAGACCGGUCCCAGGAGGACAGGGAGGAGGACGCCCCGGGAGCCAGCCUGUGGCCCACCACGGUCACCCUGCUCACCCUCUUCCUGCUCAGCCUCUUCUACAGCACAGCACUGACCGUGACGAGUGUCCGGGGCCCACCCAGCAGCAGGGAGCGCCCCCCGUUCUGA